UUUUGUAUAAUGGGUCAGCGACUUAUAUUCUGUAGCAAGGUUAACCGUAUAGGGGAGCCGGAGGGAAACCGAGUCUUAAUUGGGCGUUAAGUUGCAGGGUAUAGACCCGAAACCCGGUGAUCUAGCCAUGGGCAGGUUGAAGGUUGGGUAACACUAACUGGAGGACCGAACCGACUAAUGUUGAAAAAUUAGCGGAUGACCUGUGGCUGGGGGUGAAAGGCCAAUCAAACCGGGAGAUAGCUGGUUCUCCCCGAAAGCUAUUUAGGUAGCGCCUCGUGAAUUCAUCUCCGGGGGUAGAGCACUGUUUCGGCUAGGGGGCCAUCCCGGCUUACCAACCCGAUGCAAACUGCGAAUACCGGAGAAUGUUAUCACGGGAGACACACGGCGGGUGCUAACGUCCGUCGUGAAGAGGGAAACAACCCAGACCGCCAGCUAAGGUCCCAAAGUCAUGGUUAAGUGGGAAACGAUGUGGGAAGGCCCAGACAGCCAGGAUGUUGGCUUAGAAGCAGCCAUCAUUUAAAGAAAGCGUAAUAGCUCACUGGUCGAGUCGGCCUGCGCGGAAGAUGUAACGGGGCUAAACCAUGCACCGAAGCUGCGGCAGCGA
This 604-nucleotide ribosomal RNA is filed under the name Salmonella enterica subsp. enterica serovar Hadar. RNAcentral's name for it is "bacterial LSU rRNA". It matches the Rfam family "Bacterial large subunit ribosomal RNA", at positions 606 to 1211 of the family's 2925-position model. Lineage: Bacteria; Pseudomonadati; Pseudomonadota; Gammaproteobacteria; Enterobacterales; Enterobacteriaceae. The record is from RNAcentral.